RNAcentral lists this transfer RNA (20 nucleotides) under Delma australis (marble-faced Delma). RNAcentral describes it as "partial tRNA-Trp". The record is from RNAcentral. Lineage: Eukaryota; Metazoa; Chordata; Lepidosauria; Squamata; Pygopodidae.
AGAAACUUAGGUUACCAACA